UGGCGGCACGAGUUGCCGAACGUCCUAACCGACCUAUAUGGGUUAGAGACUUAUAUAAGUUAGCGACUCACGAAGACAUUCAGCAAUACACGUGAAAGAAAGAGAUGAAAGAAAAAGUGAAAGAAGUUUUCAUUCAAAGUUAAAGGUAAGAUUUACAAAGUCGGGUCAAAGCCCGAUUACAAGUGUUCCAAAAAUAGAAAAGACAAAAG
RNAcentral lists this long non-coding RNA (209 nucleotides) under Elaeis guineensis (African oil palm). Its description in RNAcentral is "long non-coding RNA (EGUI_LNC078133)". Lineage: Eukaryota; Viridiplantae; Streptophyta; Magnoliopsida; Arecales; Arecaceae. The record is from RNAcentral.